This 502-nucleotide ribosomal RNA is filed under the name Pediococcus acidilactici. RNAcentral describes it as "bacterial SSU rRNA". It matches the Rfam family "Bacterial small subunit ribosomal RNA", at positions 235 to 728 of the family's 1533-position model. The record is from RNAcentral. Lineage: Bacteria; Bacillati; Bacillota; Bacilli; Lactobacillales; Lactobacillaceae.
GGCGCAUUAGCUAGUUGGUGAGGUAACGGCUCACUAAGGCGAUGAUGCGUAGCCGACCUGAGCAGGGUAAUCGGCCACAUUGGGACUGAGACACGGCCCAGACUCCUACGGGAGGCAGCAGUAGGGAAUCUUCCACAAUGGACGCAAGUCUGAUGGAGCAACGCCGCGUGAGUGAAGAAGGGUUUCGGCUCGUAAAGCUCUGUUGUUAAAGAAGAACGUGGGUGAGAGUAACUGUUCACCCAGUGACGGUAUUUAACCAGAAAGCCACGGCUAACUACGUGCCAGCAGCCGCGGUAAUACGUAGGUGGCAAGCGUUAUCCGGAUUUAUUGGGCGUAAAGCGAGCGCAGGCGGUCUUUUAAGUCUAGUGUGACAGCCUUCGGCUCAACCGAAGAAGUGCAUUGGAAACUGGGAGACUUGAGUGCAGAAGGAGACAGUGGAACUCCAUGUGUAGCGGUGAAAUGCGUAGAUAUUUGGAAGGACACAGUGGCCAAGGCGCGUUGU